This 24-nucleotide non-coding RNA is filed under the name Arabidopsis thaliana (thale cress). Lineage: Eukaryota; Viridiplantae; Streptophyta; Magnoliopsida; Brassicales; Brassicaceae. The record is from RNAcentral.
UCAUUUGAGUUGUGGCAUAAUCGG